RNAcentral lists this ribosomal RNA (119 nucleotides) under Cebus imitator (Panamanian white-faced capuchin). The record is from RNAcentral. Lineage: Eukaryota; Metazoa; Chordata; Mammalia; Primates; Cebidae.
GUCUAUGGCCAUACUACCCUGGAUGUGCCCAAUCUUGUCUGAUAUCUAAAACCAGGCAGGGUCAGGUCUGUUUAGUACUUGAAUGAGAGGCCUCCUGGAAAUAUUGGGUUCUGUAGGCU